Molecule: ribosomal RNA, 303 nt
Filed under: uncultured bacterium
Lineage: Bacteria
Description: bacterial SSU rRNA
Rfam family: Bacterial small subunit ribosomal RNA
Source: RNAcentral
UGAGGAAUAUUGGUCAAUGGCCGAGAGGCUGAACCAGCCAAGUCGCGUGAGGGAAGACGGCCCUACGGGUUGUAAACCUCUUUUGUCGGGGAGCAAAGCGAGUCACGUGUGACUCAUUGAGAGUACCCGAAGAAAAAGCAUCGGCUAACUCCGUGCCAGCAGCCGCGGUAAUACGGAGGAUGCGAGCGUUAUCCGGAUUUAUUGGGUUUAAAGGGUGCGCAGGCGGAGGUGCAAGUCAGCGGUCAAAUUGCGGGGCUCAACCCCGUACUGCCGUUGAAACUGCAUCCCUUGAGUGCGCGAGAA